RNAcentral lists this long non-coding RNA (431 nucleotides) under Salmo salar (Atlantic salmon). RNAcentral describes it as "lncRNA (ENSSSAG00000090036.1)". The record is from RNAcentral. Lineage: Eukaryota; Metazoa; Chordata; Actinopteri; Salmoniformes; Salmonidae.
GAGGAUCAUCAACGCAAACUAGAUCUGCCCCUGUCUCCGCAAACAUCCAUACGCUACUACGAAAUCAGACAGAGAAAACAUUGUCCUUGACUGACAGCCUAAUGAAGCAAGCAAUGGAAUCCAUCAGGUUGUGUGAGUCCGACAGCCAGCCAGCAUACUACACAGACCAACAUCAGAGACAGGACCUGAGCCCUAGGACCAUGCCUCAGGACUACCUGGUAUGAUGACUCCUUGCUGUCCCCAGUCCACCUGGCCAUGCUGCUGCUCCAGUUUCAACUGUUCUGCCUGCGGCUAUGGAACCCUGACCUGUUCACCGGACGUGCUUGUUGCACCCUCGACAACUACUAUGAUUAUUAUUAUUUGACCAUGCUGGUCAUUUAUGAACAUUUUAACAUUUUAACAUCUUGACCAUGUUCUGUUAUAAUAUCCAC